UAUGCAGAGGCCCUAGUUAGAUCCCAUUCAGGUUCCCCAGAUAUCACUCUAGAGUCCUUGAGCUCCAAGGACCUCAGGACCCCUCCCUCUCUUUGACUGGACUCCUGAUGCUUGGUCUGGUGCUUGGCUGUGGAUCUCUGCAUCUGGUUCCAUCAGUUACUGGAUGAAGGUUCUAUGAUGACAGUUCUAGUGGUAUUUGCCAUCUGUACAUAUUCUUCAGUAAAAUCUGUAUGCCUGACUUAUCAUUUGUCCAUUUUUAAUUUGAUUGGUCUUUAUGUUUACUUUCAGGACUGUAUAUAUUCUAAACAAAUUUCCUGGAUCAUAAAUUUUUUCAAAUGUUUUUCCUUGUGUAGGUUGCCUGGAGGAGCAGAACAGGUCCAACAUGGCUGUCAAGAAUAUUGGAGCAAUGACAGCCCAGAAGCUGAGGGACCUAGAACAGCAUCCAGCAUCCAGCAUCCAG
This 460-nucleotide long non-coding RNA is filed under the name Cricetulus griseus (Chinese hamster). RNAcentral describes it as "lncRNA (ENSCGRG00015041892.1)". Lineage: Eukaryota; Metazoa; Chordata; Mammalia; Rodentia; Cricetidae. The record is from RNAcentral.